CUGGAGUUCUCCCUGUGCCUCUGCUGCAAAGAUUUGUCUGCUUGCGGAGAGCAGUUCAAUCUCUUCUCCACACCAUGGCUGGACAAGGACACUCUGCUCUGCCUUUCCCCCUCUCACCCAUGGCGGGGGUCGGGUGUGGAGCUGAAGCGUGGAGAGUCAAUCCAAUUCUGAGGUUGGAUAUUAGGUAGGCUGUGGUUGCCACGCAUCUAUGCCACAUCCAUCAUAAGGGCGAUAUUUUUAUCUCUGAUUUCUCUACUCUUCUGCCGAUUUCACUUGUAGAAACUGGGAGAGGAAAAGCAGCCUAAUUUAUACACCUUCUCAUACACCUCACAAAAUAGGCUCAUUUAUAGUCAUUACAAACUUGGAUGACAUUACUCUGCGUGUUGCUUUGAAGAAGCCCAGAGGAAAGCCUGUUUGCAGUGGACUGCAUCUGGUGAGAAGCCUAUGAAUUUGAAAUUUUGAUUUUAGGUGCAGGGUUUAUAACCUAGAUAUGACUUGACAUCUGUUCUUUUUCCUUCUGCACCACAAACAUGAGAAAAACCCUACUGACCUGAUUUUUUAAUAGAGCAUUGUGAGUAGGAACCUGAAAUUACCAGAUGUAGGUGCUUCAGUCCAUUUCUUGGAAUUUUCUGCGCCCUGUUUUCUUUUCUGUGAUGUAGGAAUGAUGGUGCUUCACAAAGUUGCUGAGGGCAUUAAAGUAAUGAAACAUAUAUACGAAAAACAGUGCAGUACCUGGCCCAUCACAGGCAUUCGAUAAAUGUUUAAUAAACACCAGUGCUGUGGUAGGUGCUGUGUCAUAAAAAGAGUAUUUUCUAUGCCUCAGUGAACUCGGCAACCCAGCGUUGUGCCGUCCAAGAUAGAGCAAUUUAAAAAGAAGGAACAGAAAAAUCAUUCCGUUACUGGUGACCUCACCUUUUCCCUUUCUAUUUUCUAAAUUUGUCUUUUUAUUUUUAAUUCAACCUAUGCCAUUUUGAUCCUGUAAGAUCUAUUUCUUGAUGUUUCUAUUAGAUGAAAUUUCCUUUUAAGACUGUCAAUGUUGCUUUAAGAAAGAGACAAAGCCCGAAGUCUGCUGCCAGCUGGCUCUCUUGGUGGCAUCCCAGUCGUUCUGUGAAGUCAACUGACCCCAGGACAGAGGGGAGAGGGUGCGAAGGCUGGAAGAUGGCUCAUGCUGUUCAACUAGUCUAAACUGAGUUUGGAGUACAAAAGAAGAGAGGUAGAAACGUUUCAAGACAACCUCAAAAUUUUCUUUCCUUUCUGUGUGGAAGAUAAAACAAGCGUGACUCGACUUCUUUAGUUUCUUUGAUAUUCCUGGGGAAUAGCCGAGUGUUCUUUCUGUAAGGGCUCAUGAGCUGCAGGUUGU
Molecule: long non-coding RNA, 1360 nt
Filed under: Equus asinus (donkey)
Lineage: Eukaryota; Metazoa; Chordata; Mammalia; Perissodactyla; Equidae
Description: lncRNA (ENSEASG00005029699.1, ENSEASG00020001049.1)
Source: RNAcentral